CACCUGCAAAAAAAGUGCAUCCUGCCGCAGCUUCUUUCAGACUGUGUUAAGGAAUUGGAGCUGGAACUGGAUGAACUCUGGAUCAUUUGGAAGCAUGAGAAGUUGAUCAACAGGACAUACAGGGAGGAAGUUACUCCCAAGGAAGAGAAGCAUGGGAGGACAGAAGAAAGACACAGUGACAGAACUGUAGACAAUAGAAACUGAAGCAAAUUCCUAAUACAUGUAAAUGUAUGUGGCAAAUAAAGCUGACCCUUGAUCUAAAGGUCAAAGUUGCUCUGAACUGCAAAACGGUUAAAUCCUCCGGGAAAAGCGGAGACUGGAACUGAAGAAUCAAGAAAUCACACAAUUAAUGAAGAAUUGAA
Hypanus sabinus (Atlantic stingray) is the source of this 362-nucleotide long non-coding RNA. RefSeq lists it as uncharacterized. NCBI's taxonomy places the organism in Eukaryota, Metazoa, Chordata, Chondrichthyes, Myliobatiformes, Dasyatidae. The record is from RefSeq and is a predicted model, not a curated record. The transcript has 3 exons.